Molecule: ribosomal RNA, 255 nt
Filed under: uncultured bacterium
Lineage: Bacteria
Description: partial 16S ribosomal RNA
Rfam family: Bacterial small subunit ribosomal RNA
Source: RNAcentral
UACGUAGGGUGCGAGCGUUUAAUCGGAAUUACUGGGCGUAAAGCGUGCGCAGGCGGUUUUGUAAGUCAGAUGUGAAAUCCCCGGGCUCAACCUGGGAACUGCGUUUGAAACUACAAGGCUAGAGUGUAGCAGAGGGGGGUAGAAUUCCACGUGUAGCAGUGAAAUGCGUAGAGAUGUGGAGGAAUACCAAUGGCGAAGGCAGCCCCCCUGGGUUAACACUGACGCUCAUGCACGAAAGCGUGGGGAGCAAACAGG